CCCCUCUCAGGAUCGCACUUGGAGAGCUUCCAGUACUCUACCAAUCUCGACUAAGGGAGGGAGAGUCAAGCAGAAGCAUACCCAUUCCAUUCCUGGCUUAGGCAGUGGCUAGCGAAUGGAAGGCAAUCUGCUGCAAGU
Molecule: small nucleolar RNA, 138 nt
Organism: Ornithorhynchus anatinus (platypus)
Lineage: Eukaryota; Metazoa; Chordata; Mammalia; Monotremata; Ornithorhynchidae
Source: RefSeq, a predicted model, not a curated record